UACGUAGGGUGCAAGCGUUGUCCGGAAUUAUUGGGCGUAAAGAGCUCGUAGGCGGUCUGUCGCGUCUGCUGUGAAAAUCCAGGGCUCAACCCUGGACCUGCAGUGGGUACGGGCAGACUAGAGUGCGGUAGGGGAGAUCGGAAUUCCUGGUGUAGCGGUGAAAUGCGCAGAUAUCAGGAGGAACACCGGUGGCGAAGGCGGGUCUCUGGGCAACUACUGACGCUGAGGAGCGAAAGCGUGGGGAGCGAACAGG
RNAcentral lists this ribosomal RNA (253 nucleotides) under uncultured bacterium. RNAcentral describes it as "partial 16S ribosomal RNA". It matches the Rfam family "Bacterial small subunit ribosomal RNA", at positions 524 to 776 of the family's 1533-position model. The record is from RNAcentral.